Molecule: ribosomal RNA, 2085 nt
Filed under: Triticum aestivum (bread wheat)
Lineage: Eukaryota; Viridiplantae; Streptophyta; Magnoliopsida; Poales; Poaceae
Description: partial small subunit ribosomal RNA
Source: RNAcentral
AUGUUGGGGGAGGAAGCCGUUGUAAUCAGGAAAGUAAUCGUACACAUGAUCGUCGAAGGACAUACUAGCAGUUACGCGAAUGCGCUCACCAAAAACAUCAUCGUCCAUCGUCCAUACAAGAUCACAAGAGGUCGGUCAAUCCCGAGGCAAAGUUGUGGCAGGGAAGACUUGCCACCAGGCAACGACGUGGAAGGGCGAAGGGUAAGUUGCAUCGCCUGCGACCGCAUCAGAUCGAUCGAGGGACAACAACCCCCUCUGCUACGCGCCACUUCGUAUAGGCCUGGGACGUGCGUAUGCAAGUACGACCUCGCAAGCGGCCUAUUUAGGGAAAAGGCUAGGGAAGGAAGCAAGGAUGGUUUCCCCCAAUUCCCCCCACCGCUGUACACUUCCCCCAAAUCCCACCGCUGUGCCGAGAGCGCCGCCACAUUGACCCAAACCAGCGGCGGCGCAGCUCGUCCAUUGUCCUGCUGCCGGUGCCCUGCUCAAGCCAUCGCCACUGCAGUAGGGCGCCGCUGCCACCGUUGCAGACUUGACCUCCCGCGGCCGCCGCCGCCGCGGCCGCCGGCGGGGCCGGGGGCUUUGACGGACCUGCCUUCCUCGACAGCUUCGGACGGAGGAGGCGGAGGGCUCCGUCGCCGCGACCCUCGCCCGACCUUGCCACCCUGGACGGAUUCUACCCUGCCUCCUCGACCAAGACCAACCCGCCUCAGCUGUAGACGCGUGCUUCAAGUUCAGAAAUCAGAACCAAGUUAUUCAACCACGUCUCUAGAAGAACAACGUAGUUGGAUGUACAGUGGGUGGAAUGAACAGGGGCACCAUUCUGAAGAGUGGGUGCGCAACACAACAACUUUUCUUGACCAUGCUUUUCAGAUUAUGCCUAAUGCUGACCGGUUUGGUGUGAAGUGCCCAUGCACAAAGUGUCGUAAUGGAGUCAGGUGGAAGAAACAACUAGUCAGAGUGCACCUUUGUCAGUAUGGUUUCAUGCCAAAUUACACCAGAUGGACAUCGCACGGCGAGUGUCCAAUAGUUGGUACAACCAGAAUGGAAGAGGAUACUCACACUAGUAAUGAACCGCUAGUUGAUAUGUUGGCUGACAUUAUUGGGGCUGAAACACAUUUUGAUGAUGUGGAGAGCGAGCCAACAACAUAUGCCAAGGAGUUCUACAAGAUGUUGUCUACUGCAGAGGAGGCACUGGUUAGAAUUACCUACUCUAAGAAAAAAUGUGAGAAAGCCAAAUGGUUUAGGCAUGAGGCUGAGUAUGAAGCAAGUGCAAAGCUCCAUAUUGGCAGGUGUUGCAACCAACUCAUGGCUAGUGUUCUGUACUAUGCUCGCAUACAGGCUGUAAGGGACCAUUAUUACAAACUUGAGAAUCGCAGACUGAAAGAAAAAUUCGCUGGACGACAUUAUCUUGAAAAACAUGAGUACAUGGCUGUCAGACCAUGGUGGUGCACUGUUGUUUCCUGGGAGGCCUUAGUUGAUGAAUGGUGUGAUGAUAAAUGGAUUGCGGCAUCUAAGAAAAAUCGUGAUAAUCGCCUCAACUCUAAGUACAAGGCCCAUAGAGGUGGAUCUAAUUCCUUGACAACAGUUUGCCAAAAACUGGAUUCAUACAAAGAGAAGGUUGUAAGCAUGCGUGGUGAGGACUAUGAUUGGAAGCAUUCUCCUAUUGAACCACAAGCCCUUUAUGAAGCUGGUGGUGGGAAGCCGCAUGGAAAGUGGCCACUAUUGAAUGGUGUUGUGGAGGGUAAAGAGGCUCUUAAGGAGACUACAGUGGAGAGUAGCCUUGGUGGUGUGCACAAGUUUCUAAUGACCAUCGCAUUCCUUCAAGGAAUUCCAGGGCCUGAGAUUCCAUGCAUUGUUAUACCCCCACCUCCAGCUUUUCCAACUUUAACCACUUCGUCUCCGAUCUUUUCUCCAGAAAUGCCCUCCACCGGCGAAUCAACAAAUGAUGCUGAAAAUAUAGAUAAUACAUUGCAUGGAGCGGAAGAUGGAAUGUUUGGCGGCUUCUUUGAUGCAAAUGGUAAUGAUGCGAAUGGUGUUGUUGCUGGAACUUUCCCCCCACCUGGUGAUGAUUUACCUACAUUUUGA